UCACAGCAUGAACGUGGAAUGCACAACAUAUUGUGUCUUCCACCCACACUGGAUUCCCAGCACUUCAUAAGGGCACACUCUGUCAUGCUGCUGAAAUGGGGAGAUUCCUGGAAGAUAAAUGUGAACCAGCCUUGGGCUUGAGUACAGCAAGAGUACAGAUACUUCAGAUACAGAUACUCUGGUUGUGCCAGGCAGCGUGUCUAGAAUGCGAGCAACUUCAGUCCUCACUGCAGGAUGUUUUCUACCAGACUGGGAUAAAAGUACAAUCUUAUGGUCUUUUCUGGACGAAUGGAUGGUUUUCACCACAGUGUGACAAAAUUACAGUCUUAUGCUCUUUUGCAGAGGGAUGCCCUUUUCUAGAGACAGCUGGGCAUCAAAGGAGAAAUAGAACCUGUCCUAGGAUGGGGCAUUUCCUGAAUUUGGUUAAGAUCAAUUUCAUGCUCUGUUAAAUCCCUUGCCACUUCUGAGAUACAAGGAAAACUGAGGGGAAAAAAAAAAGGGGGGAAAUGUAAGUGCAAUAUAUGAAUUAGCAUUUAUUCUUACACUUUUCCUGGUACCUAUCCAGGAGCAUCUGGUUUAUGCCUUUUCUCUCAUAACUGCAGUCUACAACAUUUCUGUUUAAGGGUCCAGAUUUUGAUUGCUCCUAGUGAUGCAUGUUUCCCUGUGUAUGGCCAAGAUUCACUGAAAAAUGACACUGUAUGGGAGGGCCCAUACAUCUUAUACUUUUAAAUCAUAUUAUAUAAUAUGCGAGUCCCAAAUAUACUGCUCUAUUGCAUGAGAUAAUGUUUCCCUUUACUAUAGAGUAGAUGUGAUCCCAAUAUGAAUGGGGGGAAGAGAGUAGGCACUGCACAGAUAUGUCUAAGGCAUAUAAUACAAGUAAGCAAGAUGUACUGGCUAGUAUUAAUGGGCGAGCUAAUAUACCUUGGCUAGUCACCCCCGCAAAGCCAGAUGUUCCUUAAUAUUUGGUCUCAGUUGAUUCAUAGGCUUCUACUAACUUGCUAGCAUGUCACAGGGAUCUUAAUGUUAAGGAGUCUCCUUUUGAUUGCCCCUCCAACUGGAGGUAUGCAACAGCCGGUGGCAAAUGUGCCUGCGUAGUCCUUUGCCAGUGCCCCUCAGAUUUUCCUGAAGUGUGGCUAGAAGAAUUUCUGAACCACACUCACAGUAGAAAACGACUUCCACUGAAGAAAAUGGCACACAUUUGUGAACUUUGCAAACAUGACACUGACAGAUGGCAUGGCGACACAGAAAAUCAUACAGAGUUUUACUUCUACAUUACGAGAUACCUUCAGCAGGUCAGCUAUUCUUGUACCAGACAUGAUGUAGAGCUGCUUAAAAUAUUAUUGAUGGAAGUGUAUAUAUAUGGUCUGCUUGUUUCUUUGCAGAAUCUUUCUAGUUUCCACAGAGAUAUUCUGAUUGCUUUGAGAGUUUGGGGUAUUAUUUUUUUUCCCCCAAAUUCACCUGGAGGCAGUUGAGCUACCCAAGCUAUUGCUGGUAAGAAGUUACACAGGGAGUUCUUCUGAAACUGAAUUGUCUACUUGGAGAAGUAGCUGUCUACCAAAGGUGGUAAGAUGUUCAUAAGCUGGCUUGUACGCUGUGACAUCUCCUUUGUGUGUGUGUGUAUAUACACACAUAUACAUAUAUAUGAUACAUCUUAGGAACUUUUUCCUCCAGCAGCUGUUUUUGCUGUAAGACACCAUUUACUCUGCAUAUGAGCACCGCAGUCAGAUACAAAGUACAUACAGAAAAAUUAUGUCUAAUAUUGUAUGCAGACAGACUCCUCCCAAAGGACAGUACUGCAGUGCUUUACAUUAAAAACAGCAUGUGACUUGAUGGGAUCGAGCAGUUUCUGAAAGCCCGUUUUCAUAUAAAUAAAUGCAAUAAAAUCUUACAAUGAAAAGAAAAAAUAGAAAUGUGCUUAUGCAUCUCACCUUUUCCUUCCAUAUAUUAUUAGCCUACCUUACAGCUCCUAUUCUGAUUUUGUCUCUUGUACUGCAUAAAAAGAGAAGAAAAGAAAUAAAAAAAAGUGAAAAUAGAG
Strigops habroptila (Kakapo) is the source of this 2035-nucleotide long non-coding RNA. NCBI's taxonomy places the organism in Eukaryota, Metazoa, Chordata, Aves, Psittaciformes, Psittacidae. The record is from Ensembl.